This 151-nucleotide unclassified non-coding RNA is filed under the name uncultured Capnodiales. RNAcentral's name for it is "sequence contains ITS2". The record is from RNAcentral. Lineage: Eukaryota; Fungi; Ascomycota; Dothideomycetes; Capnodiales.
CACCACUCAAGCCUAGCUUGGUAUUGGGCGCCGCGGCGAUCUCCAUCGCUGCGCGCCUUAAAGUCUCCGGCUGAGCAGUCUGUCUCCGAGCGUUGUGACACAUGUCGCUAGGGAGUGCAGGUCUGCCGCGGCCGUUAAACACCCCAUCACA